GCUCCAACUUCCUACAUAGUUAUAUUUAAUGUCUAAGAAUAAAACUUCUUCCAACGACAUGUUUUGUACUGUACAUUACUAGUAUGCUUAUCGUACUCCCUUUCGCACAGGCAUGGUAGAAGGAGAUGAUCAGAAUCAAGACUCCCGUUUAGUCGCCGAAGCAUCUUUCUUUACUUUUCACUCUCCGCAUAUUCAUCACUGACACACAGUGUCCCAGUGCCCACUCCGUGAUCCACACACACACACACACUCACUUACUCACUCACUCACAUAACUCCUCCCCCUUCCCCCACCCCCUUUUAUUUUCACUUUCACAAGCCAAAAUGCCAUUUCUCUUCCGGAGUCGCGUUUGCCUUUUUGUCUCCGCACCCAACUCAGUUGUGUGAAUGAAAGGGAGGGGUUGAACUAUUUCCAGAAAAAUACUAUCUCCUGAUUAUACUUUGCCUCCAAAGUUACUUCCUACAAAUAUCAAGAGAUACGGAAGGAGUCACAUUGCCCAGCAAAGACGCGACAGCUGAC
Molecule: small RNA, 519 nt
Filed under: Histoplasma capsulatum var. duboisii H88
Lineage: Eukaryota; Fungi; Ascomycota; Eurotiomycetes; Onygenales; Ajellomycetaceae
Description: Histoplasma capsulatum H88 hypothetical RNA
Source: RNAcentral